This 253-nucleotide ribosomal RNA is filed under the name uncultured bacterium. Its description in RNAcentral is "partial 16S ribosomal RNA". It matches the Rfam family "Bacterial small subunit ribosomal RNA", at positions 524 to 776 of the family's 1533-position model. The record is from RNAcentral.
UAAGAAUGGGGCUAGCGUUGUUCGGAAUCACUGGGCGUAAAGCGCACGCAGGCGGAUCGAUAAGUCGGGGGUGAAAGCCCGGGGCUCAACCUCGGAAUUGCCUUCGAUACUGUCGGUCUCGAGUCCGGGAGAGGUGAGUGGAAUUCCUAGUGUAGAGGUGAAAUUCGUAGAUAUUAGGAAGAACACCAGUGGCGAAGGCGGCUCACUGGCACGGUACUGACGCUCAGGUGCGAAAGCGUGGGGAGCAAACAGG